Humulus lupulus (European hop) is the source of this 2628-nucleotide long non-coding RNA. RefSeq lists it as uncharacterized. The transcript is spliced from 3 exons. Lineage: Eukaryota; Viridiplantae; Streptophyta; Magnoliopsida; Rosales; Cannabaceae. The record is from RefSeq and is a predicted model, not a curated record.
UCUUUUUCCCUUACAUUCAUUGGGUCCAAAUUAGCAUUACUCGGGAUGGGGUACUCUGGCCUGAGUUUGCUGUGAGUUAACCCAGUUGCAUGCCCCCUUGUUUAUACCCUAUAGUGGAUCAUUUAGGGUGUUUGUAUCUAGAGGUUUUAAGCCCAUUCCUUUGUGUUUUGUAGCAAUCCUCUCAUUUAUACGUGAACCCCUUUUUGCUUUCGGGACGAGGUCUCAUGACAAGUGAAGGUCCGUUCGGCAUCCCUCCGGGGGUCGAGUUUGUUGACUUGUCUUUAGACUCAGAGUCCCCUGAGGAAAACCCUUACCAAGACUAUGACUCCUUAAGGCAGGCCCGUAUCCGUCAUCUUGAGAACAUGGCUGAACUUAGGUGUAAAAUUUGGGUGGUGGAGAGUGAAAUCGACUCGGUGUUGAGAGGAGACGGAGCAUCUUUCCCCCUGACCUUAGUGAUCAUGUAGCGAGCCUUAGGGUGACUCUUUUAGAUUUGUAGGGGGAGUUGGAGUUUAUGGAGGGACAUCUUCCGCCUGAGCCUUCUAGCCCACCCUCGCCUGAUGACUGUCAUGGGGCCGCUUCUGCUUCUCUUCAGCCUUUAUUUUUGAUCUUCCCUAGCUUAGCGCUUCCGCAGCCGGUGCCCCGGUGGAAGACUCUUGCUAGGAAGAGAAAAUGGAUGGUCAAGUGUUCUAUCUCUUCCUCACCUUUUUCUUUUGGUUUUGUAGAUAUGCUGAGGGGACGAUGACAGGUAUCCACCAAUGAACAGGACGAUGCCCUUUUAUUGGCAUCCACCCUGGUGUCCCACGUGUCAGAAAAUAAACUGAGGGAAAUUGUGAAGCACUACCGUGUUCCUCUGGAGUACGCCUUAUACACCCCUUCAGACACUUGCCGGGUUGACUACCCUAGUCCCGGCUUCGUGGCCCUUAGUGAGCACAUCCUGAAGGUGGGUGGUACCAUCCCGUUACACCCGUUCUUCGUUGCGGUCCUCAACUACUUUGACCUUGCUCCACUUCAGCUGGCGCCCAACAGUUGGCUGACCUUGAGCUGCCUUUUUAUUGCGUUUGCGGAACUUUCAAACGUGCUCCUACGGCGCUAGAGGUGCAUUUCCUGUACAAUCUCAUGCCCUCUCCCAAGUCCAAGGGCUUCUAUUACCUGAAAAAAGCCAAUAACGAGGUCCCUUUGAUAGAGGGCUCAGUGUCCAACCAGGGGUCCUGAAAGCAGGAAUUUUUCUUCGUGAAAGGCCCUCUCUCUGUUCACGAGUACUUCCGUGCCGCUCCCAAGCAAUUUGCCGCACCCGAGGUUGUUGGGUCGGAAGCGGACGCUGUGAAUAAUCUUAUCAACGCUGACCUCGCUAUGAAAAAGGUUGCGUACCUAUUCACUGUGGAAAAUCUGAACCUCCACAAGCUGUCCCCGAUUUUAGAUCCCAGGUUGCUGUGGACCGUCCCUCGGUCAAAGAAGAUGAAGGCGGCAUCGGCUGAGCCUUGCCCGAAUGAAGGUGAGGCUGAGGAUGUGCCGGAGGAAGCCUCCCUUGAAUGCGAGGAACCUCACCAGCUGUCCUCAUCUCCUGGGGGAUGCCCUCCCUUUGUCUCUUUUGACUCGGACAUAGCCUCCCAAUCCCAAGGCCAACAUGCCAUUCCGGGUCAUUUUGUUUGCCCCGACCCCGAGGACUAUGACGCUUUCCUUCAGGCUCCCCUCGACCCUGGUCCAUCGGGGGCUUGCUUUGCCAAUCUUCCUACACCCCCUUCUGAUCUACCGGGGCCUCAAUUUUCCUGCGCCCCCUCUAGUUUCGGCGAGUGGGUCGUCUGUCCUUACCCAGCCAGGUGGACCUGGCCUGGAUGGGGCGCCCUGGGUGAAUCGCAUGGCGACCUUUUACGGGCGGUGGUACGUCCAAAUUGCCUCAGACCUCCCCGAAUCUGACUGGAAUGGUCUUGGGAGUUUUUCCCUAUCAGACCUUAGGGAAACUCUAAGGCACACUACUGCUUGGGCCUAUACUGUGGCUCAGCGGUUUGCCGACUCGGCUCACAAUCUUUCUGCGUCGAGUACCGAGAGGGACCGCUUUACGGCCCGGGUCCAGGAGCUCAAGAGAGAGCUUGGCCAAACCAAGUCUAAGCUAAAAAGGGUUCGGGCCAAAUUUUCUGUCUCAUCAAAAAGGAAGUAGAAGGCGGUUGCCAAAGCCACGAUGCUGCAGGAAAAAGUCACCAGCCUAGAGGGCGAACUUCAGGGUGCCAAGGCUAUUGCGACUGCAUCGCAGGAGAGAGUCGCUUCCUUAGAGGCCGAACUCGAGGUUGCUAGGGCCGAUGUAGCCGUGUCGCAGGAGAGAGUCGCUUCCUUAAAGGCGGAUAGGACAGCUAUUGAGUACAGGUCCAUAGAGCGUGCCCUUUACGGUGUGUGGAGGCAGGAUCCCAACUUUGAUUUUUCUUCUUUUGGCGAGCACACCGUUGCUCGAGCGGCUGGGUGGAGCACCCGCGGGAGGAGGCCCUGAGGUUGUUAUUUCAUAGCUUCUGUCAGCUAGCCCGCUGUGGGUGUAUGCUCAUUUGAGCCUUUGUAAUAUUAUUAUGAUUAUUACUUUUUUUUUUUGUAAAUCUUGCCAUGUUACCAAGAAUCCUUUUUUAAUAUAUACAUGUGUGGUUA